Molecule: transfer RNA, 71 nt
Filed under: Candidatus Collierbacteria bacterium RIFOXYA2_FULL_46_20
Lineage: Bacteria; Candidatus Collieribacteriota
Also listed under: 4 other names
Description: tRNA-Thr
Rfam family: tRNA
About the family: Transfer RNA (tRNA) molecules are approximately 80 nucleotides in length. Their secondary structure includes four short double-helical elements and three loops (D, anti-codon, and T loops).
Source: RNAcentral
GCCGGGAUAGUUCAGUGGCAGAACAGGUCAUUGGUAAUGACCAAACUCGAGUCCGAUUCUCGGUCCCGGCU